UGUUGUCAAAGCAAUACAGUUUGGAGCAGGAGGGUGGAAGGCUCAGGAGGAAUGUCUCCAAGAAAAAAAAUGGAACUAUUCUGUAACCUGCUUGACUAUAUUGCAGAUGUUUCACAAACACCUCACAGUUUUCCUUCAGAGAGCUUUGGGGUGAAUCAUUGAUCGGCACACAGAAAACUAAGCAAGCAAGCUUGCCAAAAAAAAAAAGUACAAUUGGAGUCUGUAGCUUUAGAUCCGUCAGCCAAAUGAGCAACCUAAAACUAAACUCCCAAACUGGCCAGCUCUCCCUCCCCGUGGCAGAAGGACUGCGGAAAUCGUGCUCUCUGCAUGCUCAUUCCCCAAAGGAAGAGGGACAGACAGGAGCCACGCUCACCCAUUUGUUCUUCCCAGGAUGAAGAAACAAAGUGAGAGAAGUCUGCUGAAAUAUACUUACGACAAUAUUCUAAAUGUCAUUUGUUGAGUGAUCCAUAAACUUUCAUGGUACAAGGAAUGGGAUUGUAUAAAAGUGACCCCGAGAGCUCACUCUUAGUUACCUGAAACAGUGAGCCAUCUGGAACCAGGAAUUAGCUUUUGACCAGUGGGAGAAGCCACACUUGAACUCAGCUUCCUGUAAGACUGAUGGCAUUAUUUUACCCUCUUCCAGGAACUACAAUUUUCUAAAAAAUUUCCUUUUUUAGUUGAGAUAUAAUUGAUAUACAACAUUAUAUUAGUAGAAUUACAACUUUCUAUGGUCUCCGCUGUCCUGAGGUGCUGGGCAGCUGGUUUUCACAGUUACUUCCUCUAAAUAGGUUGCAUGCAAUCCAGACUGCCUUAUGUUUAAGUUAUCUGCCUAUCUCUACUGAUAAGGUUGCUCUCAUGCUUGCCCUAUAAGAAAGGAGAGCAACAGUGGGGUGGGAUCUCUUCCCUGGAAUACUGUACUGAGUGUCCAUCAGAUGGCUCAGGCCCCUACGUACUCCCCCAUGGGAAAAAUGGGAGAAACAAAUGACCUGUGACUUUUGUUGUUACUGAUUCCUUGAGUUUUCUCAUUAAACCCUAGUUUUUAACCCUUACAACAUGAUAUUAUAAAAUUCAUCCUGAGCUCUGGUAAAGCUUCAUGUGGCCACCACAAAAGGACCCAUUUUGCACAACACAUUUAUUGAUGAUAAUCGAAGAGUUGUUCUGCAUACCCAAAUUUUGGACAGUUCGUACCUCAGUUUGUAUAUCUGUAACAUGGAUUGAAGUCACUGGCUAUAUUUGUGUUUUGCUUUGGAUAAAAUGUCCUCCUAUCUGUGUUAACUCAUGCAUUUUCUUCCAAUCCAUCUGUCUCCCUUCACAGCUCUCUCUCCUUGUCCAGCUAAGAUUCCAUGAUGUAUUGUUCAAUAAUAAUGUUGCUGGUACCCUAAACUCCCUUCACCUUCUGUCUUCUUUGAGGCAUCUGCCAAGGACUGCAACCAGCUAUGACAGCCACAGAUGUCUUCAGACAUUGCCAAAUGACCCUUAUAGGGCAAAAUUGCCUCUGGUUGAGAAUCAUUGCUCUAUCCUCAUGGCUCCUGUUAAGGUUACCAAUGACUUUCACAAUGCUAAGUCUCAUUUCUUAUCAUACCUGAUAUCUCAGUGGCAUCUGACAUUGUUAACCUCUCCCUUCCUGAAACAUUUUUCUCUUACCUCCAAUGACUUAACAUUCUUUUGAUUCUACCUUUACCUCUUGGCUUCUCCCUUCCUUCCUUCUUUUUUUUCUUCCUUCCUUCCUUGUUUCUUCCUCCCUCCCUCCCCGUCUCUCUCU
RNAcentral lists this long non-coding RNA (1762 nucleotides) under Equus caballus (horse). Its description in RNAcentral is "lncRNA (ENSECAG00000048395.1)". The record is from RNAcentral. Lineage: Eukaryota; Metazoa; Chordata; Mammalia; Perissodactyla; Equidae.